UCAGACGAUGCGUCAUGCAUAUCAAUAAGCGGAGGAAAAGAAACUAACAAGGAUUCCCUUAGUAACGGCGAGUGAAGCGGGAAGAGCUCAAAUUUGAAAUCUUAAAGGGUUUCCCUUUACGAAUUGUAGUUUAAAGAAGUGUUUUCUGUUGAGGUUUUGGUAAAAGUUCUUUGGAAUAGGACAUCAUAGAGGGUGAGAAUCCCGUAUUUGACCUUUACUUUCAACUUUGUGAUACACUUUCAAAGAGUCGGAUUGUUUGGGAAUGCAGUCCAAAAUGGGUGGUAAAUUUCAUCUAAAGCUAAAUAUUGGCGAGAGACCGAUAGCGAACAAGUACCGUGAGGGAAAGAUGAAAAGAACUUUGAAAAGAGAGUUAAAUAGUACGUGAAAUUGUCAAAAGGGAAGCGUUUGACACCAGUGUUGUUUUUCUGAAAAUCAAUUAAAGAACUGUUUAUGCUAAGCUGUUUAGACUUUAUCAGCUAUCUGUUUAGUUUUGAGCUUUUCUUUAAUGCACUUUUCAGUUAACAAGUCAACAUCAAUUUCUUUUGCUGUAAAAAAGCUUGAGGAAGGUGGCUUGAGAUUCGUCUUAAGUGUUUAUAGCCUCUUGCCUAUGCAGUCGGAGAGAUUGAGGUCUGCAGCGUAGAUCCUUCGGGGCUAAAUGCAUUUGUGCUAAGUUAUAGCAUUUUAUAGACAACUUGUUGACUAUGAUUUGUCUUGUAGCUUACUCGCUUAUGUUAUUUUACCUACGCUUAGGAUGUUGAGCGCAUGUCUCUCUCU
Molecule: ribosomal RNA, 774 nt
Filed under: uncultured Neocallimastigales
Lineage: Eukaryota; Fungi; Neocallimastigomycota; Neocallimastigomycetes; Neocallimastigales
Description: partial large subunit ribosomal RNA
Rfam family: Eukaryotic large subunit ribosomal RNA
Source: RNAcentral